GGUGAAAGUCAGUAAUGAAGCUGAAAGGUCGCUAAAUGCUGGCAAUUCCUUCUAGAAUUCAAAAGCAUUAAGAUUUAAGUGUGGCUGACUGCCACGGUUACUACUUGAGACCGUCAUUACUAGACUGAAUGAAGAGACGAACAUAGAAAUGAUUCAACUGGUUCAUGGUUCAUACUGGGGGAACAAGGUCCAUGGUUGGGAUC
Long non-coding RNA from Homo sapiens (human), 203 nucleotides. RefSeq lists it as uncharacterized. The transcript is spliced from 3 exons. The record is from RefSeq and is a predicted model, not a curated record. NCBI's taxonomy places the organism in Eukaryota, Metazoa, Chordata, Mammalia, Primates, Hominidae.